UGAAAAACAUUGAAGGAAACUAGUAAUAUGAUCUUUUAGUUUCAGAGAGAGUUGUAGCUGCUGCGAGCAAUUCCUAAGAGACAUACGAAUUUCAUUUCUGGAGUUGCAAUCGGGAUUUGAAUUUUAAUGAAUGAUUUGCCGGGAGACCGUUAUCUACUUGAGUGUUGGAAUGUAAGAACAUUUCAAAAUUAGGGUGGUAACGCGUGCCUCGUCCCUUUA
RNAcentral lists this non-coding RNA (219 nucleotides) under Liquorilactobacillus vini. RNAcentral describes it as "Lactobacillus vini T-box sequence". It matches the Rfam family "T-box leader". From Rfam's summary of the family: Uncharged tRNA acts as the effector for transcription antitermination of genes in the T-box leader family. The record is from RNAcentral. Lineage: Bacteria; Bacillati; Bacillota; Bacilli; Lactobacillales; Lactobacillaceae.